RNAcentral lists this unclassified non-coding RNA (228 nucleotides) under Hevea brasiliensis (rubber tree). Lineage: Eukaryota; Viridiplantae; Streptophyta; Magnoliopsida; Malpighiales; Euphorbiaceae. The record is from RNAcentral.
UUGCCACCAAGAUGAUACGAGAAUAUGGUUUACUGCAGCAUAAGAAAGAUGGAAUGGAGUCGCAGAAAGCUGGAGGUUUGCAAAAUUCCUUUCUUUCUUCAGAGCUGAUAGUUAGUAGACCUGGCGGGACAGGAGAUCUGGAAAGGCUUCAGAAGAUGGCUCACUUUCUAGAGAUCAUACGGAAUCUGCAGUGGCAACUCACAUACAAAUGCAAAAGGCUAGGCCAGG